UCACUGAUGUCAGCAGCCAAAUCCAGUUUCUGUUGAUGAGAUAAUGUAGGGCCAUUUGCCAUGUACAAUCUAUUAACAGCUGGAAGAGAAUGAGCUGAAGUCCCCAUAAGUGAUUUGUAGAAAGCAGUGAUUUCCUUCUUCAGAUCAUCUGGCUGUGUAAUCCUCAAGCCUUCCUCUGUGAUCAGUUCAGUAAUCUUCUUGUGUUGGUUUCUCUCUUUCAUUACAACAGAAAAGUAUUUGUUGUUACCAUCCCCUAGAUGAAUCCAUUUGGCUCGAUCUUUCUGUUGUAAUAUUGAUUCUUCCAGCAGAGACCAUUUUUCCAGUUGAAGUAUCAGAUCUUUUUCUCUUAGUUGCAAUGAAUCAGAAUAUGCACUAGUCAUCUGGUGUUGUAAGGCUUCCAGUUCCUUACGGCUGACCUCAAUUUUCUGUGAAAUUGUCUUAAAUUCUCUGGUAUUUAGAGAUUUCAAGACUGGUUUAAGGGACUUGAGGUUGUUCCACACCCCUUGAAGGGUAGGCUGAGCAUUGACAUUCCAGGAAGCUUUAACUAGUUGUUGAAAAUCCUGAUGCUGUAUCCAUGCAUUAAAGAAUCUAAAGGGGGUUUUCCUGAUUGAAAUAUCCUGAUGCUGUAUCCAUGCAUUAAAGAAUCUAAAGGAGGUUUUCCUGAUUGAAAUAUCCUCUGUCAAGGUCAGUACCAUGGGGUUAUGAUCAGAGAUUAAUGGGGCUCCAUAUACAGUAUGCACAUGGCUCCAUUUUAGCAUCCACUCACAAUUACCAAAACUUCUAUCCAGACGACUGCAUACUCUAUCAUCUCCACCUUGCUUAUUAGUCCAGGUAAAAAAGUCUCCCUUCCAAGGCAGUUCUGUUAGGCCAGCAUGCUGCACACAUUGAAUAAAAUCAGUAACUUCAGCUAGUCUAACUUGAUGACAAGAUUCUCUAUCAGUGCUGGACAUAAUGGCAUUAAAAUCCCCUGCUAUCAACCAGGGGUCAGUGAUACUAGCAGCAAGAUUCUGAAGAGCUAUCCACAGUGAUUUCCUUUGUACAAUGUCAUUGUGGCCAUAUACCACUGUAAGGCAACAGAUUAAUUCAUCAGUGAGCUUCCUAACAAUGCAAUGGAUGUAUUGUGCCUCUUCUUGAACACCAGUGACCAAGAGCUUGGUUGUAUCCCAUAAGAUCCAAAUUCGACCAUUUAUGGCACUGCUGUAGUUAGCUAGCAUACCCCAGUUAGGCAGUAAAAAUUCAGAUAUUUUUGCUGCAUUAUUCUGUUUAACUUUAGUUUCUACUAGACCAACAAGGUCAAUUUUAUUGACUCUAAAAUAUUCUUUAGCUUCCUUCUGUUUGAAUCUUUUAUUUAC
This 1352-nucleotide long non-coding RNA is filed under the name Nicotiana benthamiana. RNAcentral describes it as "long non-coding RNA (NBEN_LNC014242)". Lineage: Eukaryota; Viridiplantae; Streptophyta; Magnoliopsida; Solanales; Solanaceae. The record is from RNAcentral.